CGUCCAGGCCAAAAAAGGCAAAAGGCUGCCACGCUCGCUUACGGGGAGUGCGACACCUUUCACUUUAGGAGGAGCAUGGUGCUGCUGCUCCCUCAUCCUGGGUCCAGGUCUGAGCGGGGGCGUCGCAUCUCCAUGUCUGAAAGCCCCAGAUGGAAUCAUUCCAUCGUGAGGUUCUCUGCAUUCCAAUCUCUUUGGAACUAACUCGAUGUGGCACAUCGUGCGGCUCUCCCUCAAUUAAUAGUUCGGUUUCGUAAUAUAUGUAAGUAAGUAAAUAAAUAAAUGGUGCGGUUGAGUUGGUGAUGAAGAGCUAUCAUGAUUGUCGCAUUGGAUGUGGCUCGGUUGUCUUGAUGAAGCUCUAUGUCUUAAAGGAUUGUUUGGGGGUGGGCCUGGAUUAAUGGAAUUCCGUUGUGUGCGGUUUGGAUGUGAAAGUGUGAUGAGGGCGUGAUGGAGAAAAGGAUCCGUGGAUGGAGCCAAAAAGUGUUCGAAAAAG
This 490-nucleotide long non-coding RNA is filed under the name Physcomitrium patens. Its description in RNAcentral is "long non-coding RNA (PPAT_LNC008631)". Lineage: Eukaryota; Viridiplantae; Streptophyta; Bryopsida; Funariales; Funariaceae. The record is from RNAcentral.